GAGCUAAUGUAUAAAUGUAUUUGGUUACACAGUACAAGUUUGACAAGGGUUAAGUGUUCAAUCCGAUUAUUAUUUUCAUGAUGAUAAAUAUUAAUGUUAUUAUAAACACUUUUAAGUAACAUUCAAUUAGAUAAAAUUCAAAGUGAUUUGAAACACAUAAAUUUCUUUGCCCCCAUUUCUCUUAAUCCUCCAGGGCUUUGCUAGGCUCUACCCUCAGGCAAAAAUAUCUUUUGCUUUGAAGUUCAUUUUAUUUCAUUAUACCUCCCUGGAUUUAUUAGUGUGGCCUAUUAAUGUUUAGGUUAUUUAUUUUCAUUUAUUAAGGCCUUUCUAUAAGAUAUUCUCUUUCUUCUUUAACUUCUUUCCAGAAUUCCUAAUGUCUGCAGAAUGGACAAAGGCUAACCCAUCCUCAAUCCUGGAUUCCUCUUUAAAACAGUGCAGCAAAAGAGAAGGGAGACAUUCAUUCCCUCCAUCUGAAACGACCAUGGAGAAAAUAGAGUCGAGGUGUAAUAGAGCUUAAAAUCAACUUUAUUAAAUUGAAUUUCUCCAGAAUUGAGAAGACAUCUCACUUUUUCUAUAGCCUUCAGGUGCUAAAAUGACAUGCCCCAGGGAAGUAUCUGAGCAAGUCAUAGCAAAAUGUUACCAUUUUGCCUCUGGUUGGAGCACUAGAAAUCCUGCCACUCAGUUCUACUCAAGCAGAGAGGAAGACAAGAACUCCCACUGGAGAUCCCUAACCUCUGACUUCAGCCACCCUUUAGACUGGAAAGCAAAUAAGCUGGACAGACUAAACGCUAUACCCUGGAAGCUCUUUCUUUCCCUGACCUCAAGUUUGCUUUCAACAUCAAGGAAACAACUCUGGACUCAAAAUCAAGAAACCACUCAUAGACACAGAGGGUAUUUUCCAGUAAGUAUAUUCCUAGUCUUAAAAAGUAUCAGAGGGCCAGCUAAAAUUCCUAUCACAUAUUUUACAAGAUCUACAUGCAUCCUGCAUAUCAACUUGGCUAUCUGAGUGUCACUUUAUGGGGUUGGCAGAACAAAUAUCUCACCAAAGAUCAUGUCUAAAUCACUGGAAUUUAUAAAUAUUGUAACUUGUGUGGAAAAGAGGGCAUGGCAAAUGUGAUUAAGGUUAUGGUGUGGAGAUUAUUCUGGAUUAUCUAUGUGACCACAACCUAAUCAUGAGUCCUUAAAAGCAGAGAAACUUUCCUGGUGAUCAGAGAGAAAUGUGACCGGAAGUUCAGAGAGAUGUAACAUAAGAACAAUGUGUCUCUCUACUUCUAGUUCUGUGAUGUGUGGGGGCUACAUCCAAAGACUAGAGAGAGUUUUCUAGGACUUGAGAAUGGCCUCUAGCUAAUAGCCAGCAGGAAAAUGGGGACCUCUGUCCUUCAACUGCAAGAAACUAAAUUCUGCCAACAGAAGAAUGAGUAGAGAAACAGAUUCUUCCUGCAGCUUGCAAGAAGGAACACAGUUGUGCUGUCACUUUUUUUAUUCUAGGGAGACCUAUACCAGACUUCUGACCUACAACAACCCUAAGAUAAUAAAUAAAAUUGUAUGGUUUUAACUCA
Vulpes vulpes (red fox) is the source of this 1559-nucleotide long non-coding RNA. The record is from Ensembl. NCBI's taxonomy places the organism in Eukaryota, Metazoa, Chordata, Mammalia, Carnivora, Canidae.